ACAAUGAACGAAAGUUUGAUCCAGCAAUACUAUCUGAAUGAAGACGGCUUUUUUAGUUGUAAAAUUCUUUCGUUAAGAAUGAUAAUGACAUUACUUAAAGAAGUUUAGUCCCGGCUAAUACUCGUGCCAGCAGCCGCGGUAAUACGGGAGGGGCAAGCGUUAUUCGGCAUAACUGGGCGUAAAGGGUCCGUAGACUGCAAAGUAAGUUGCUAGUUAAAACUUAAAACUUAAUUUUAAGGUAGCUUGUAAUACUGCUUUACUAGAGUUUUGUACGGAAGAGUAGAAUUUUAUACGAAAGGGUAAAAUCUAAGAAUAUAUAAAGGAACACCAGUAGCGAAGGCGACUCUUUAGUAAAAACUGACGUUGAGGGACGAAAGUGUGGGGAGCAAACAGGAUUAGAUACCCUGGUAGUCCACACUGUAAAUUAUGAGUGCUGUAAUUUAAUGUAAGUUACGUACGUAUUUUAUACGUACUGUUACUAAAUACUUACUUAGAUUUUUAAGCUAACGCCAUAGGCACUCCGCCUGAGGAGUACUAUCGCAAGGUUGAAACUCAAAGGAAUUGACGGGGGCUAAUACUAGUGGUGGAGCAUGUGGUUUAAUGCGAUAAUCCGCGCAAAACCUUACCAAUCUUUGACAUAAAAGUUGUGUUAAAUUUUACACUUUAAAGUAAAUAAAUUGACAAAAUAACUUUUACAGGUGUUGCACGGCUGUCGUCAGCUCGUGUCGUGAGAUGUUCGGUUAAUUCCCUAAACGGGCGUAACUCUUGUCUUUAAUUUAAUGAGUUUACUCACUUUUUGAACGAUUUAAAGUUUUUAAAUUGGCUUUAAAGAUACAGUCAACGAUAAGUUGAAGGAAGAUGAGAACUAAGUCAAGUCAGUGUGACCCUAAUAGAUUGGGCUACACAUGUGCUACAAUGAAAAUCACAGAAAGUUACAAAAAGUAAAAUUUUUAGUUAAUCUCCAAAAAUUUUCCCAGUUCGAAUUGUAAGCUGAAACUCGCUUACAUGAAGUUGGAAUCACUAGUAAUCGCAAAUCAGCACGUUGCGGUGAAUAAGUCAAUUAGCCUUGUACACACCGCCCGUCACAUGCAAAGAGCCAGUUUUGCUUGAAGACUUAACUGAGUUAAGUCCAUUGAGAAAUUGAUAAUUUGGAUGAAGUCGUAACAAGGUAUCCGU
This 1176-nucleotide ribosomal RNA is filed under the name uncultured bacterium. RNAcentral describes it as "bacterial SSU rRNA". It matches the Rfam family "Bacterial small subunit ribosomal RNA", at positions 368 to 1503 of the family's 1533-position model. The record is from RNAcentral.